Non-coding RNA from Theobroma cacao (cacao), 356 nucleotides. Lineage: Eukaryota; Viridiplantae; Streptophyta; Magnoliopsida; Malvales; Malvaceae. The record is from RefSeq and is a predicted model, not a curated record.
CAAGACAUAAGUGUGGAAAAUUCAAGGAAACAAGUGAUAAAAGAUGGUGAGUCCUCCGACAAGGGCAAGGAAAUUGUACCUGAGGAUCAAUAGUCGGAGUAUUAUAGAAAUUCAACUCCCAAAAUAGCUCAGAAUAGACUGUAGAUAACUGAUCGCAUCGAGGACUAUCAUUAGAAUUGCAUUUUCCAAACUGUAGGUUCACAGUCCUCUUUACUUUUGAAUAUUCGAGGGUCUCACUUGUUAUUGUAAAUUAAAUUUCAUACUCUAGUUAUCUGUACUACGGUAUAUAGGAAUUUAUUUUGCUUUUACGCUGUAAAAAAAUUGUUUACGUAGUGUUUCAAAAAUAUUAUUUUAUA